This 482-nucleotide ribosomal RNA is filed under the name uncultured bacterium. RNAcentral's name for it is "partial 16S ribosomal RNA". It matches the Rfam family "Bacterial small subunit ribosomal RNA", at positions 29 to 507 of the family's 1533-position model. The record is from RNAcentral.
AUUGAACGCUGGCGGCAUGCUUUACACAUGCAAGUCGAACGGUAACAGGCCGCGAGGUGCUGUCGAGUGGCGGACGGGGGGGUAAUGCAACGGAACGGGCCCAGUCGCGGGGGGUAACUACUAGAAAGAGGAGCCAAUACCGCAUACGAUCUAAGGAGGAAAGCGGGGGAGCGUAAGGGCGCGCGGGAGUGGAGCGGGCGAUGUCAGAUUAGGUAGUUGGGGGGGUAAAGGCUCACCAAGCCAACGAUCUGUAGCUGGUCUGAGAGGACGACCAGCCACACUGGGACUGAGACACGGCCCAGACUCCUACGGGAGGCAGCAGUGGGGAAUUUUGGACAAUGGGCGCAAGCCUGAUCCAGCAAUGCCGCGUGCAGGAAGAAGGCCUUCGGGUUGUAAACUGCUUUUGUACGGAACGAAACGGCUCUGGUUAAUACCCGGGGCUAAUGACGGUACCGUAAGAAUAAGCACCGGCUAACUACGUG